RNAcentral lists this small nuclear RNA (148 nucleotides) under Mesocricetus auratus (golden hamster). Its description in RNAcentral is "U1 spliceosomal RNA (ENSMAUG00000002712.1)". It matches the Rfam family "U1 spliceosomal RNA". Rfam says of the family: U1 is a small nuclear RNA (snRNA) component of the spliceosome (involved in pre-mRNA splicing). Its 5' end forms complementary base pairs with the 5' splice junction, thus defining the 5' donor site of an intron. The record is from RNAcentral. Lineage: Eukaryota; Metazoa; Chordata; Mammalia; Rodentia; Cricetidae.
AAAUUUAAAAGAGAAAGUAAGAAGCUGUUUUCCCAGGAUAAGGCUCACCCAUUGCGCUUGGGGUGCGCUGAUCCCUGUGAUCUCCCCAUAUGUAGGAAACUCGACCAUAUAAUUUGUGGUAGUGGAGGACUGCAUUUGCACACUACUC